This is a long non-coding RNA of Mustela lutreola (European mink), 8929 nucleotides long. RefSeq lists it as uncharacterized. The record is from RefSeq and is a predicted model, not a curated record. The transcript has 3 exons. NCBI's taxonomy places the organism in Eukaryota, Metazoa, Chordata, Mammalia, Carnivora, Mustelidae.
ACCAGUAACUGUGGCCAAGGGCCUGGGUCAUACAAUUUGGCCUAGAUCUUAGGUCCACAGUCCAUCCUGGAGAUAGAGUUUGCAUUCAGAUUCACCCAAAACAUGUAGCCCAAGAGUGGAAGAGGUAUGUUUACCCCCUGUGAAAGAUCAAAGUUCUACUGGCCACACAGAGAGGAGAUGAUUGGGAGAUGGCUGACCACAUGAUUAUGACUUUAAACAAUAUUUUAAACUCUGUUUCUUGAGACUUUGGUUCUAGAUUGUAUCCCCAGACCUCAUACUCAUGAGUUCUCCUUCAGUCCACACCGCCCACUUGAAUCACCUUGAUCAUAUAAGAUACUUGUGUCUAUUUAGAAAGGAGAAAGACUAUGUGAUUAACAAAGGUGGCUUGGUGUAGGUAGUGAAGUUCUCUGCCACUGGCUAAGCACGUUUCCUCAAUCAGCAUAUCUCUCUAAAGGUGGAGACCACCUGUGUACAGGGUGGUCAUGUCAAUGGACAAACUUCCCUUUAGGAUAUUAGGGUAUUAGGGAAUCAUGCAGAUGGUGUUCUUUAUCCCACCAAAACACCAAAACCAAAGAACUUCCCUGUGGAACACCAAAUACCCAUACGAAAGGCCUUAGUUCUGUCUAGGUAGCAAUCUUAUUUUCUUCAUAGGGGAGAACCCAGGGAGCAAGUGAAGUCUCCGAGUCUUCUCCUGGCAGCCUAUUUGCAUGCAUAGAAAGGCGAAGAAGAAUGAGAAAGGCCAGAUGAUACAGCUGGUCUCUGCACAACCUUUUGGGCUCCUUUUCCAAUUCAGAGCUGGGACUGUGUUAAUGCCCAGUGUGGAGAUUCCCCCAAGGCUUCUUCAGAAAGAAUAUCUCUAUCCGUUUUACAACCUUCUCUUGAGUAAACCUGGGACACUGCUUCCUCUCUUCUGCUUUGGCCAUCAGUUCCAUUCACUUCCUUUCCAUCUUACAGAAAAUUCUCAAAUCUCAGCUGACUGUCCCCUUUUUAUCUCUGGUUAUCCAUUUGUUUAUUUUGCUGACUCUUCAGCAGAAUUUUGAGAAUAUAGAAAAAUGCAUGUGCUCAGUCUUGAACACACACACACACACGUAAUAUUGUAGAUAGAAUUUUUAAAACAAAAUUGGAUCUUGCCUAUUUUGCCACUGGCUUGAUCAGAUACUGUUCUCAAAGAGUCUCAAAAGUUGUUUGUCACCCCUGGGGAUAAAAAUAUAUGUUUAUAAAAAUAAAAAAAAAUUAAAAAAAAAAGUUGUCAGAGUCACCCUGGGAAAAUGGGAAUUUCUUUUUACUCCUUUUUUUUUUCUUUUAAAUAAAAUUAACAGGGUUUUGGCUUGCUUGUUUUGCUAUCCAAAUGAAUGAAUGAUUCAGAUUUCAACUUUAGGGAUGGUAUGAUCUAUUACGCAGGGAUUAAAUGGAGUUGGCAUUGAAAAGCAGGAAAUGGUACGCAUGAAAAUCAAUUGAUUCUAACCUCUGGAGGUUAAAGUGUUGUCAUCGUUUGUUUGCUAGUUUUUAAUCCUGAGCAAUUCUAAGCCAUGCCUUUUCAAACUAGAGCUUUUACUUCAAGUCCUGAGGGCGGUUGGUGAGGAAGGGUAGCAAGGAACCCCCAAUUAGAGCGGGUGAGUGACCCAGGAAGGAAACAGCUGUCUUAUGUGGGAUCUAAAAUCCAGCAAAUAUCUAUUAGUAGGACUAUGUAUAUAUUUACUGUAUGCCAAUGAUAUUCAGAAUCUCUAGGUCUACCGAGGAUGGCUAAAACACACAGAGAGUAAGAGGAAGGCUCUCUGGUGGGCUUCAGAUAGAAGAGAUGCACAUCAUUUGGAUAGACACUUUCCAGGAGAGAAUGAUGACUCACACGGGGAUGACUUAAAUGGCAUCUGGUUUCCAUUUUCUUUGUUUCUUCUCUUGGACUCCAUUCAGAGGCACUUCCUUCCAGCUGGAGCUUUUAAUGGCAUAAUGUGAAGGCAAGAUCCACAGAAGUGGGUUUAGAGGAGGGACUUGAAGGAGAAAAUGCAGAUCGUCAGGGGAGACUAUGGAAAAUUACACCCAGAUGGGUGGUAACAGAGAAUGUACACACAUCCAGACUAAAAUAUACCAAUUAAAAUAUUUAGGGAAAUGCAAAGAAGUAUAUAAUUUUUAAUAUGUGAUAACAAAAAUUUCAACUGAAUAAAAAGUCAAAGAGAUAUACUCCUGAUGAUAAUUAACAGCACAUUAAUGCCAUUUCUGUUUCCGGCCUUGGAAAAUAUGUCGGCUUUCUUUAUUUAAAUGAAUGUAGCAUAGCACUACUUGUGGUUUUUCUAUGAUCUAUCUACUCGUUCUACACACUAGCUCCAUUCACGGUGGUGAUACCCUUCUUCCUACUUCAUAGCUGGAGAAGCACUGUUGAACCUUGUCUGCUGUUCCAAACUGGUCUGGGAGGUCGGGUAGGACCAUCAUCUGGGUAGAGGGAUUGGCUUGUGCUGUUAUAAUAACCAGCAACCCAUCAGAGCCCAUACAAGACUGGAGGGGUAUAGCAAACAAUUGCUUUCCCUACGGAAGCACUCAUUCUCGUUCCUCUCACUCUUUCAGCAGCAAGGCGGGAGCUCAUUUCUCUUUUAAAAAUGAGAAUCCAUCGUAUUCUACACUUUUCUUUUUUUUCUACAUUAUGUUUCUUUCAGACAAGUAUCACCUCAAAUGAGUGAUCUGCCCCUGGUCUUGUCCUCUUCCCUAUGCCCCCAAAACACUUGCAAGAGGCCAUAUCCGUAGAGGUAGGUAUAAUGGCAUUAGAAGUUAUGACAAUGGUUCUGUUCUAGACACUGUGGUGGGUAGAGCUAAUUAAAACUGAGAACAAGCCAAAGAAUAAUUAUUGGGCAUUUGAUGAAGACAUGGCAUUGUCCAGGUGUCUGGGGAAAUAGGGUUUAAUGAGUAAUAGUACAUAUAUACAAAAUGGUAAUAUGAUAGUGAUUGUAUUACACUCUAAGAGAGGUAUAAAUAAGGCUAAUGGGGAUAAUAGAGAUUAGUUUUGAUGGUGGGGGUCAGAGAGGGGAGUACAAAGUAGAGAAUACUGGUCAAAGGAGAAUAUGGAAUGUGUGGGGAGGAUUCUCUGCCUCAUUGAUUUAGAUAAAUCCAGAGGGAGUGCCAACUUCCCACGUAGGCCCUGGGGUCCAUGAACACAGAUGCCAAACAGAUCAGGCAGGUACCGUAAAUACGUGAAUCCAGCCAUGUGUAAGGCAGUUGGGAAUGGUAGAACUUGUGAUGAACUGAGGGUAUGUCUACCAAAAUUCUAUUUCAUAUUAAAAAUUCAUAGUCAAACAAUUCAAGUCAUUGCCUGCAAAUCUUCUCUGUCAUCCAAAGGUCUUCCUGUGCCUCUAAGUUUAGAACCAACCACCUCCUCCAGCCCAAAGAGAGACCCAAGCUUUCCUCCAAUGACACAGUCACAUCUGCAUAACUAACAGAGUCCUCUAGAAUUGGUGCUCUGGAACUAUGAUAGAGGUAGGCCUCAGAGACAAAUAUACUUUUCCACAAUGGAAGACCAGAUUCGUUAAAAGUCAGUUUUGUUAGCCUCCACAGGAUAUUCCAUCACUCACGGGCCACAAAACCAGCAGUGGAAGAGCUGGCAGAGUUAGCUCAGUCUGUCAUUGCUCCAGGGGUGUUUCUGGAAUCUGAGGGCUCAGCAGGCUGAAGAGAAAGAGGAAUGCCACUGCUUCAUGUGUUGGACUCUUGAGUAAGAUCCUGUCUGAAGAAAGAAGACCUUUGAAUAUUUUUACAAUGGAGACAAGCAAAUCGCAUCCACCUCUUCAGAGAAGGACUUGGCUGUGAUGCCCUGCCUUGGUCUUCCUUCUGGUAUUCCUGUGAGGGAAAACUCCACUGCUCUCAUUUGCUAAUGACCCUCAACUCAGAACCCUUCACUCUUGGUCACCACAUAUGUAGGCAUUUCCUCACACCAAACCUUUAAUUCUUGGCAAAGACUGACUGGGUGGCUUACAAAUUUAACCCAAUUCUGACUUCUAGGAGAAGGGCUCAGUCCUGCAAGGCCGCCCUCACCUCAGAUGAUAACCUCAAGUGGAGCUUGGCACCUGUACCCUUGACGGACCAGCUAUAAAUCAGGGUUCCUAUGGCCCUCUCUUCAGGCACAAGAAAAAUAAAGCUCUCUGUCUAACACUUUACCAGUUCUUCCUGCUGUGGGAUUCCUGGAAGACGACCUUGCUCAGCCUCAGACAACUCUUUCCACGAUGCAUUUGUGUCAUCAGCUCUUCUUCCAACAGAGAGAGAUCACAAGCAGGCAGAGAGGCAAGCAGAGAGAGAGAGAGGAGGAAGUGGGCUCCCUGCCGAGCAGAGAGCCUGAUGCGGGACUUGAUUCCAGGACCUUGAGAUUGUGACUUGAGCCAAAGGCAGAGGCUUAACCCACUGAGCCACCCAGGUGCCCCAUUGGCUAACCUAACUUUUUGACACACUUUAAAAUUGUUAAUAAAAUUCAUUCUAACUUUGGCCAUUUGAAUAUAAAAAAUAAUAAUCAUAAAAAUAAGAAACAUAUAGAAAAGCACAUAGAAAAAAUCCAUCAUCUUAUCACACAACAUGCGUGGGCAAUAUUUUUUUGUAUAUUAUUUCCCAUUUUUUCUAUUCUGUAAAAAUAAGUGGGUGUGAAGAUUUUUAUAUGUAUAUUUCAUGUGCCUAUGUGUUAAAAUGAUAGAACAUAUUGUUUUAUCAACUCAUAUCUUAUUUUAUUUAUUUAUUUUUAAAGAUUUUAUUUAUUUAUUUGACAGACAGAGAUCACAAGUAGGCAGAGGCAGGCAGAGAGAGAGAGAGGAGGAAGCAGGCUCCCCGCUGAGCAGAAAGCCCGAUGCGGGGCUCGAUUCCAGGACUCUGGGAUCAUGACCUGAGCCGAAGGCAGAGGCUUUAACCCACUGAGCCACCCAAGCAUCCCUAAACUCCUAUUUUAAACUUUUGAAGAUUGAUUGAUUGAUUUUAGAGACAGUACCCAUGAACAGGGAAAGCAUCAAAGAGGAGGGAGAGGGACAAGCCGACUCUCCACUGAGCACAGAGCCUGACCCAGAGUUCCAUCGCAGGAUCCUGAGAUCAUGACCUAAGCUGAAAUCAAGAGUCGGACACUUAACUGACUGAGCCACCCAAGGCACCCCCAUAUUUUACACUUUAUAAUAUAUUAAUGUAUUUUAGUAUCAGUGGUGACAGUGAUGAUUAUUGUUACUGUGUGCCAGGCAUAGGGCUAAGAUGUCAUCUUCAUAAUGACCCUAGGAGAUGCUAGUGUCACUCAUUUUUCAUAUGAGGGAGCAGACACUGAAGGGGUUAAGUGCUGCUUGAAGUCAUGAAGCAAGUAGUUGUUGGAAUCAGAACCUGAAAUGAGGUCUCAUUCCAGAACCUGCUAUUUAACAUUCCAUGAUACUGCUUUCCUUCUCCAGACAGUAAAUAUUCUUAGAUCAUAUGUUUUUAUUAACACUAUAUUUGUUAGAGAAAUUUAAAGUUCAUAGCAAAAUUGAGGGGAAGUUACAGAGAUUUCCCAUGUAAUGCCCCCACACGAGUAAACCUCCCCAAUUAUUCACAUCCCCCACCAGAGUGGUGCGUUUGUUACACUUGAUGACCCUAUGUUGGCUCACCAUCGUCAUCACUCAAAGUUCACAGUUGACCUUAGGGUUCACUGUUGGUGUUGCACGUUCCAUGGGUUUGGACAAAUGUAUAAUAACAUUAUCCAUCAUUAUGGUAUCAUGCAGAGUAUUUUCACUAUCCUAAAAAUCCUCUGUGCUCUGCCUAUUUUCCCCUUCCCACGCCCCCUUCUAUCAUACUUUGGUGGGUAUAUACUGUAUCAUAGUAUAUAAUAUUAUUAUUAUUAUUAAUAUGUGAUAUGUUCAAUUUUCCAGUAAUGUGAAUGACACUGUGAUGAAUAUCCUUUUCAAUAAAUGUUUGCAUAUAUCUUUGGUGACAUGGAAAUAAGGAAGUGAGCAUUGGUUGCUUAUUUGGGAGUGAUCCAGAAAGGGAAGCAGAAUCAGUAAGGGGAGUGAGAAGGGAAGGGAAGAAAGUCAAAACGGGGUAUUAAUGAGCAGGUUGCCACAAUGGGCAGCUGAGGCUCAUUUCCACCAUGACCUUUGCGGGUCUAUAUUGAACUCCCCUCACUGUUGUCCCCCCUGAGGCUGAGGAAUCCUCAACUUCUGUGUAUAAUUAGUUGAGAACUCCUUCCAGGCGUGUUAACUUCUUGGAACUUCUUGCCAGCCUCCAGUGUGAUCUGGCACACUUCCUUACCCAAAAAAUAUCCCAGGCAGAGUGUGCCAGUGCUGGCCACUGGAAACCAGCUUGUGUACCCAGAGGGAUAUAGAUGGGUGCUGACAACAUCUGCUACUGCAGAUAUCUGUGAUCUUUUCUUUCUGGAUAAACUUAGGAUAUUUCAAGAUAUCCUUGCCAAAUUGGCCCACAGAAAUGUUGCACCAGUUUGUAAAUACCUUCUGUGUUACAACCAAUGUUGGGUCCGCCAUGCUUACUCAAUUCAUUAUGUAUAAAAAGUUACCUUGCUUGCAUUUUCUUAAUCAGUGUUGCAGUUAAAUUUUUUUCAUUUGCUAAUUAGUAUACGUAGUAUUUUUUUUUUACAUUGUCCUUCAUUUACUUUAAGCAUUUUUCUGUUAAAAUGUGCUAUUUUCUUAUGUCUUGUAAAUAUUUUUUCCCAGUUCAUUCUCUGGAUUUUAAUUUUUAUAAUUUAUUAAUGUGGAAAGUUUUAAGUGUUUGUAUACUCUUAUCCAUAGUUCGACUCCUUAAUGGACUCAUAUUUUUCAUGUAUAAUUUCUUUAACUUUCAAACAGUUUAUGUUACUAUAUUAUGUUAACAUAUACCAACAUAGGAAUCAAAUAGCCUAUUUUUCCCAAGCUGACUUGAAAUUCCACUUUACUAUGUUCUGUGACAGAUCAAUUUAUUAAGAAACAUAUUAAUGGAUUUUUAAUUGAUUUGUAUUUUCUUAUUUUUACUGGUAUCCAUGUUCAGAAUACUUAUUAUUUUUAAUGUAUAUAACAUAUAUUAAUUUUAAUAUGUAUAAUAAAUUUUAAUUCACUUAUUAAUUUUAAUGCUACUCACAAUACUCAUUAACUUUAAAAAUUCAAAUUUCCUUUAUUCAUAUUAAUUUCUGACCAUAUGGCUCACUAUUGCAAUAUCUUGGCUACCCAUUGUAUACCCACACUUGCCUAUAAUCUGGCAUGGAUAUAUAACAGUCUUUAUGAUUAUUCUCUAACUUCUUGUAUUCUUUAACAUUCCAACCUUUAAGUCACACUCUUAAUGUCAACCAGAAAGAAAACAUUCCUUUAACUUGAAUUUUUAUUAUAAACGUAACUUGAACAUGAUUUUGAAAUGAUCUCGUCUCUGCACAAGGCAAUGCUGUCUUCAGUGGGAUACGUUAUUUGAUUAUAAAAUAAAAUUCUAGAAAUUGGUGCAUGUUGAAUCAGCCACCAGGGACUCCUUAUGUUUCCACAACUGCAAUAUCAGUAGCAUUAGAGUGGAGAUUGCCUCUAAGCGUUCGAGCUUCAACAAUAUGCCUUUUCUGAUUUUGUAGCUACAUGGAGGAAGUGAGCCAGAACUGGGGCACACAGCAUCAUAAGCUGCCUGUCGCUUAGAUACCAGACUCCCUGAUUCAAUAUGUGCCUGUCACGUAUUACACUUACCACUUUCCAAGCUGUGCGCCUCAAAGCCCAGUCUGUGUGGUCUCAUCCCACUGUAUCGAAAUGUCAAGGGGUUGCUUAUUAUCAGGACUUGAAAAAAUUGAGUGUUCUAAGACAAGAAGCCUCAGAAUGGUUUCCUGACUAUACAGUAUUGAAGGAAUACAUCUUCUUCAGAAAGCAUUCCUACACAUCCUGUGAGGGGUUGAAUUGUGCUCCACCAACCCUUAAAUUCACAUGUUGAAGUCCUAACCCCCAGGACUUCAGAAUGUGACCUUUUUGGGAGACAGGGUCUUUAUAGAGAUAAUGAAAUUAAAAUGAGAUCGAACGAGUGGGCCCAAAUCCAGUAUGACUGGUGUACUUAUAAGAAGCGGGAAUUCGGACACAAGGGCAGACAUGCACAGAGAGAAGAGGUCUGUAUAUAAACAAAGGAAUGCCUGAGGUCACCAGAAGCUAGGAGAGAGACCUAGAAUAGCUCUUUCUCUACUUUUUCAGAGCGAGCAUAGACCUCUGAACAUGCUGAUCUUGGACUGCUGACCUCCAGAAUUUUGAGACAAUAAAUUUCUGUUGUUUAAGCUACCUAAUGCAUGGUACUUUGUUAUAGCAGCCCUAGCAAACUAAUACCUUGUCCCUGUCUUUUUUACUUCCUUGUACUCUCAAAGCAUUUUGCUUAUACCUCUACAUGGAUUUGUCACAUUUUAUUGAGUUUUAAACUUUUCUAAUUAUUUUUGAAUAGGUAGUACAUGCAUAUGGGGAAAAAUUCCAAGAGUACAGAACAGCAUAAAACAGACUUGGAGUGGAAACAGUCCUCCUCAGCUGCUUCCCUACAGCACUCCACCCUCACUCCCCCAAGUGCCUUUCCAAGAGGCAACCAUCAUUAUCUAUAACUUACAUCCUUGGUUUCAUGAUCAUUCCUAGUUUCAUUUCCUGUUUCCUCUCAAUGACCAUAAGCCUUUGGGGGAAGGGAUAUUGCUUCCUUUUGUGUAAUUUCAGCUCUCGAUAAAUCUUAUUUUAAUGAACUGUUUACCAGCUAAGUUCAGGCACACUGAUACAUAAAAUUCAAGCUGGGUUGAACGCUCUGAUUGUGAUUAAUAUCUAAACACUCCUGUUACUUAAUCAUUUAUACCAUUAGUAUGAAGCAGGACUUGAGUGAAGAUUUUGCCUGGGGGGCAGAACCAGAAGAUAGUGAGGAACCUGGUGAUGUCGCACAGAGCAAGUGGAAAGAAUUUCACUGAAAAGGAAGUGAAAACUUUGUUAGUCUGACUUCUCCUUUGCUAUUCAUAAUGAUUCUCAGUAAUGGGGUUUGAAUAGGA